This 492-nucleotide ribosomal RNA is filed under the name uncultured bacterium. Its description in RNAcentral is "partial 16S ribosomal RNA". It matches the Rfam family "Bacterial small subunit ribosomal RNA", at positions 29 to 507 of the family's 1533-position model. The record is from RNAcentral.
AGUGAACGCUGGCGGUAGGCCUAACACAUGCAAGUCGAACGGCAGCACAGUAAGAGCUUGCUCUUACGGGUGGCGAGUGGCGGACGGGUGAGGAAUACAUCGGAAUCUACUUUUUCGUGGGGGAUAACGUAGGGAAACUUACGCUAAUACCGCAUACGACCUACGGGUGAAAGCAGGGGAUCUUCGGACCUUGCGCGAUUGAAUGAGCCGAUGUCGGAUUAGCUAGUUGGCGGGGUAAAGGCCCACCAAGGCGACGAUCCGUAGCUGGUCUGAGAGGAUGAUCACCCACAGGGGAACGGAGACACGGCCCAGACUCCGAGGGGAGGAAGCAGUGGGGAAUAGUGGACAAGGGGCGAAGGCCUGACCCACCCAUCCCGGGGGGGUAAAAAAGGCUUUGGGUUUAAAAACCCUUUUUGUGGGGAAAAAAAAGCAGCGGGUGAAUCCCCCCCUUUUCUGAGGGUACCAAAAAAAAAAGCCCCGGCUAACUUCGUG